This 2861-nucleotide unclassified non-coding RNA is filed under the name Hevea brasiliensis (rubber tree). The record is from RNAcentral. Lineage: Eukaryota; Viridiplantae; Streptophyta; Magnoliopsida; Malpighiales; Euphorbiaceae.
CUUUUGAAAAUUUUCAUAGCAGUUGGUAUGCAAAUUACUAGGCUAAGUGGAAGCUCAAGGGCUCAUCAACAGGAUCACAUCCUUGGCAUCUCUGCUCCAAUAAAAUGAAUUCCAUAUGAAAAACAAAUGAAUAAUUUGUCAUUGAACGCCAAUUUCACAAAUAGCAUGCUCUAGACAACUUCAUUCUGUCAUCGAAUACAGUUUAAUAUUCCUUGAAGAGUAUAAUACGUAGUUUCAAUCCCUACUUACUUUCCUAAGAUAGGUCUUGACAAACAACUAGCUUGACUGAGGUUGCUCAGUAAUAUGCUUUUCGAGGGUUGUUCAGAGGAUUUGGUCUGUAACGGUAACCAAGCAUCAUUCGCUUCUUAUACUGUUCAUAUAUAUCGUCAUCAGGAGCCACCUCCCCAGGUUGGUGAGCACCAACACCCAAAUUGUCCUUCUUUACAUUACCAGCCAAUAUGGGAUCUGCAAUGCCAUUUCUGGAGCUCCCCAGACCCUCACCUUCUUUCCAACCCAUUUUGGACAGCAAUUUAUGCCCAACAUUAUCAGCCUGGAUUUUUGACCUAUCUGCCGUUUCUCUAGCAGCUCGUUGUGCAGCUACAUCAUUACAGGCAGCCAAGAAUUUCUCAAGCUCUUCUGGUGGAAUGUAGUCACCCAUGUGAUGACCUCUUUUUCCUGGAGGUCCUUGAAGGGAAGGAGGCGGGGGCAUUUCAUCCUUUGACUGUUUAGGCUGCCUCCUCCUCUCUUCUUGAGCAGCCUUCUUCAUGUAGAAUUCCAUCAUUGCUAUGGGAUCAGUACCUUCUGGAGCACUAGAUUCACCUGCAGCUGCAAUAUCCAAAGUAACUGCAAUACACAGCAGUUUAUACUGAUUAAUAUUCCAUAAUAAACAUGUCCCACCCUGAGAUGAAAGCCAACAAGCAAACAAUUCUAUCAUCACUACACAUAAAACAAAUAAGGUGGUGACAUACCAACUCACAAAAACCUCUCAACGAGGUAAAGUAAACCCUUGAGUAAACACAAUGAUGUGACUACAAGUAAGUCAGUAAACCUGAGGCCUCCAUAUUGAACCUCAUUCAUAUGGCAAUAAUAAAUGCAGUAUAAGAUCAAAAGCUCUUUUUUAAACUACAUUCAAAACUAGAAGUUGAUUCAUAAUAUCUAAAGAAGUUUCAGGCUUGGCACAUCCAAGAAGAGAAAUAUCUUUUGAGUAAAAAAUGAGAAACGAACAAUCUUUGGGACCCAUUACACAUAGGAAACACAGAAAAGAAUAGAACGGAAAAUUGGUGCAAGAAACUAAAGUAUCAUAACACUGAAGGGUGAGCAGAAACACUAACAAAAAAGGAUCUGAAUGGACCCGAGACUGAAAGUUUCAUGCACGAUUGCAGCACUGCAAAUUUGUAUUAUUUAACCUCCCAGCAUGUUAGCAUGUAACAUUUCUAUUGGAAAAGUAACAUAAAUUUUUUGUCCAUUGGAAAGAAAUUAAACAUAACUCUCAUGCAAACCCCAUAAACAGAGGAAUAUAUGCUGUUACCAGUUCUUCCUGCUGAUGUUGUUUGUGCUGAAGUCACCGAUACAGGCUCAUCAGUGGCUUCAUAUAGAGCUGAGGCAGGGAUUUGGUAAUUUGGUUGCUGCUGAGGCAGUUUAGAAGCUGAAGAACUUGUAGCACCACUAGGAGGGAUUUCAGAAUCCCUAGCCUGUGAAAGAGCCCUCUCCUCUUCAGCAAGCCGAAACUCAUAGUACUUGUAGUCUGAGCAAGUCUUGUCAAAUAGAAAUUUAAAUGGUGUGUCUCCAGGGUUCUUCUGGCGUGUGAUAUGCUCAAAUUGCCUUCCAUUUUUUGCAACAAAACUUGCUAGUUUGUCUGCAACUUUCUUCACUGUAGGAUCACUCGGGGAAGGUGGUGCUGCACAUCACUUAUAAAACUGAUUAAUACCAAGAGCAUGAACAAGGGAAUUCAAAUUACUCUUGUAGCAGGCGUGCCACAUAUGCCAAAUCUUUCAUUGAACAUCUCUUUCGACCAAUGUUGAUCACUACUUAAGGUAUAAGCAACAUCCAUUUGUUUUGAUUUUUCAGAGGCAUCCAGUUGAUUCAACUUCUGUCUUUUCGCUGAUGUGUCAACUGAAACAUUCCCAGCAUCUGCUUCAUCUUCAUCCUCAUCUUCGCCCAACUUAACAGGAGGAGCCACAAUUUUUGACUUCUGUUUCAAGCUGAAUGCAAGUUUUCCACCUGAAGGAAGCUGAGGGGUCUUGCUUGCACUAUUACCCUUAAAUUGCAUAGUUAUUUUACCAGUAGAAGGUUUAGGAGUUGUUGUCCCAGAAACAAUUGUUUUGGGUUUAGAUUCCUUCUCUACAGCACCUUUAACCUUCUCUUGGUCCUUUCCCUUCUCUGGCUGAAGCUGUUUGAACCUCUCCAUGAAUGAACCAUCAUUAACAAAAAGACUAGAAGGUGCUUUUUUAUCCAUUUCCAACGAGCCAAAUAUGCUCAAGCUGUCUACAGGAGGCCACUGUUUGAUGAAGUGAAAAGAUGAUCUAGACCGGUAAUUCGUGGGUUUUUAAUUAUUGAUCGCGAAUAUAACUGGGCUGGUUAGGGAUUGAAAGAAGAGAAUGCUCUGACCUUAUCAUUUUACCGUCUCCGUGGAGGGUAGGGAUAGAAGAAAGAGAAUGCGUGCGGGCUCAGUAAAGCCAGCGGAGGUUACUUUGAUAUCGUGAAAUUUGCAGUCUUGCCCUUUACGUUUCGGAAAUUUUAUGUUUGCCCCUAGUCCGUAGACCUGGCUACCGGUUUGGGCGGAGCCCCUGGUUCAGGGUUGAGAAAAGGAAUGAACUGGAAUCGGAUUGGAUGUCCCAAGUGAUUACAAUCAGUUCUGGUUC